AGUGAACGCUGGCGGUAGGCCUAACACAUGCAAGUCGAACGGCAGCACAGUAAGAGCUUGCUCUUACGGGUGGCGAGUGGCGGACGGGUGAGGAAUAACUCGGACUUUACUUUUUCGUGAGGGAUAGCGUAGGGAAACUUACGCUAAUACCGCAUACGGCCUACGGGUGAAAGCAGGAGAUCUUCGGACCUCGCGCGAUUGCAUGAGCCGAUGUAGGAUUAGCUAGUUGGCGGGGUAAAGGCCCACCACGGCGGCGAUCCGUAGCUGGUCGGAGAGGAUGAUCGGCCACAUUGGAACAGAGACACGGUCCAGACUCCUAAGGGGCGCCCCAGUGGGGAAUAGUGGGCAAUGGUCGGAAACCUGGUCCAACCAUCCCGCGCGUGUUAAGAAGACCUUCGGGUUGUAAAGCCCUCUUGUUGGGAAAAAAAAGCUGCAAGCUAAGACCACGCUGUUCUGACGGUACCAACAGAAGAAGCACCGGCUAACUACGUG
This 492-nucleotide ribosomal RNA is filed under the name uncultured bacterium. RNAcentral describes it as "partial 16S ribosomal RNA". It matches the Rfam family "Bacterial small subunit ribosomal RNA", at positions 29 to 507 of the family's 1533-position model. The record is from RNAcentral.